AUUGAACGCUGGCGGCAGGCCUAACACAUGCAAGUCGAACGGUAACAGGAAACAGCUUGCUGCUUCGCUGACGAGUGGCGGACGGGUGAGUAAUGUCUGGGAAACUGCCUGAUGGAGGGGGAUAACUACUGGAAACGGUAGCUAAUACCGCAUAACGUCGCAAGACCAAAGAGGGGGACCCUCGGGCCUCUUGCCAUCGGAUGUGCCCAGAUGGGAUUAGCUUGUUGGUGGGGUAACGGCUCACCAAGGCGACGAUCCCUAGCUGGUCUGAGAGGAUGACCAGCCACACUGGAACUGAGACACGGUCCAGACUCCUACGGGAGGCAGCAGUGGGGAAUAUUGCACAAUGGGCGCAAGCCUGAUGCAGCCAUGCCGCGUGUAUGAAGAAGGCCUUCGGGUUGUAAAGUACUUUCAGCGGGGAGGAAGGGAGUAAAGUUAAUACCUUUGCUCAUUGACGUUACCCGCAGAAGAAGCACCGGCUAACUCCGUG
RNAcentral lists this ribosomal RNA (490 nucleotides) under uncultured bacterium. RNAcentral describes it as "partial 16S ribosomal RNA". It matches the Rfam family "Bacterial small subunit ribosomal RNA", at positions 30 to 507 of the family's 1533-position model. The record is from RNAcentral.